RNAcentral lists this ribosomal RNA (1291 nucleotides) under Pediococcus acidilactici. RNAcentral describes it as "bacterial SSU rRNA". It matches the Rfam family "Bacterial small subunit ribosomal RNA", at positions 91 to 1370 of the family's 1533-position model. Lineage: Bacteria; Bacillati; Bacillota; Bacilli; Lactobacillales; Lactobacillaceae. The record is from RNAcentral.
GUGAGUGGCGGACGGGUGAGUAACACGUGGGUAACCUGCCCAGAAGCAGGGGAUAACACCUGGAAACAGAUGCUAAUACCGUAUAACAGAGAAAACCGCCUGGUUUUCUUUUAAAAGAUGGCUCUGCUAUCACUUCUGGAUGGACCCGCGGCGCAUUAGCUAGUUGGUGAGGUAACGGCUCACCAAGGCGAUGAUGCGUAGCCGACCUGAGAGGGUAAUCGGCCACAUUGGGACUGAGACACGGCCCAGACUCCUACGGGAGGCAGCAGUAGGGAAUCUUCCACAAUGGACGCAAGUCUGAUGGAGCAACGCCGCGUGAGUGAAGAAGGGUUUCGGCUCGUAAAGCUCUGUUGUUAAAGAAGAACGUGGGUGAGAGUAACUGUUCACCCAGUGACGGUAUUUAACCAGAAAGCCACGGCUAACUACGUGCCAGCAGCCGCGGUAAUACGUAGGUGGCAAGCGUUAUCCGGAUUUAUUGGGCGUAAAGCGAGCGCAGGCGGUCUUUUAAGUCUAAUGUGAAAGCCUUCGGCUCAACCGAAGAAGUGCAUUGGAAACUGGGAGACUUGAGUGCAGAAGAGGACAGUGGAACUCCAUGUGUAGCGGUGAAAUGCGUAGAUAUAUGGAAGAACACCAGUGGCGAAGGCGGCUGUCUGGUCUGUAACUGACGCUGAGGCUCGAAAGCAUGGGUAGCGAACAGGAUUAGAUACCCUGGUAGUCCAUGCCGUAAACGAUGAUUACUAAGUGUUGGAGGGUUUCCGCCCUUCAGUGCUGCAGCUAACGCAUUAAGUAAUCCGCCUGGGGAGUACGACCGCAAGGUUGAAACUCAAAAGAAUUGACGGGGGCCCGCACAAGCGGUGGAGCAUGUGGUUUAAUUCGAAGCUACGCGAAGAACCUUACCAGGUCUUGACAUCUUCUGCCAACCUAAGAGAUUAGGCGUUCCCUUCGGGGACAGAAUGACAGGUGGUGCAUGGUUGUCGUCAGCUCGUGUCGUGAGAUGUUGGGUUAAGUCCCGCAACGAGCGCAACCCUUAUUACUAGUUGCCAGCAUUCAGUUGGGCACUCUAGUGAGACUGCCGGUGACAAACCGGAGGAAGGUGGGGACGACGUCAAAUCAUCAUGCCCCUUAUGACCUGGGCUACACACGUGCUACAAUGGAUGGUACAACGAGUCGCGAAACCGCGAGGUUUAGCUAAUCUCUUAAAACCAUUCUCAGUUCGGACUGUAGGCUGCAACUCGCCUACACGAAGUCGGAAUCGCUAGUAAUCGCGGAUCAGCAUGCCGCGGUGAAUACG